GAGUUUGAUCAUGGCUCAGAUUGAACGCUGGCGGCAUGCCUUACACAUAGCAAGUCGAACGGCAGCAUGAUCUAGCUUGCUAGAUUGAUGGUCGAAGUGGCGAACGGGUGAGUAAUACAUCGGAACGUGCCUGUAGUGGGGAUAACUAGUCGAAAGAUUAGCUAAUACCGCAUACGACCUGAGGGUGAAAGUGGGGACCGCAAGGCCUCAUGCUAUAGGAGCGGCCGAUGUCUGAUUAGCUAGUUGGUGGGGUAAAGGCCCACCAAGGCGACGAUCAGUAGCUGGUCUGAGAGGACGAUCAGCCACACUGGGACUGAGACACGGCCCAGACUCCUACGGGAAGCAGCAGUGGGGAAUUUUGGACAAUGGGCGAAAGCCUGAUCCAGCAAUGCCGCGUGUGUGAAGAAGGCCUGG
RNAcentral lists this ribosomal RNA (414 nucleotides) under uncultured microorganism. Its description in RNAcentral is "bacterial SSU rRNA". It matches the Rfam family "Bacterial small subunit ribosomal RNA", at positions 9 to 419 of the family's 1533-position model. The record is from RNAcentral.